This 543-nucleotide ribosomal RNA is filed under the name uncultured bacterium. RNAcentral's name for it is "bacterial SSU rRNA". It matches the Rfam family "Bacterial small subunit ribosomal RNA", at positions 777 to 1319 of the family's 1533-position model. The record is from RNAcentral.
AAUAGAUACCCUGGUAGUCCACGCCGUAAACGAUGAGUGCUAAGUGUUGGGGGGUUUCCGCUCCUCAGUGCUGCAGCUAACGCAUUAAGCACUCCGCCUGGGGAGUACGGUCGCAAGACUGAAACUCAAAGGAAUUGACGGGGGCCCGCACAAGCGGUGGAGCAUGUGGUUUAAUUCGAAGCAACGCGAAGAACCUUACCAGGUCUUGACAUCCCGGUGACCACUAUGGAGACAUAGUUUCCCCUUCGGGGGCAACGGUGACAGGUGGUGCAUGGUUGUCGUCAGCUCGUGUCGUGAGAUGUUGGGUUAAGUCCCGCAACGAGCGCAACCCUUAUUCUUAGUUGCCAUCAUUCAGUUGGGCACUCUAAGGAGACUGCCGGUGAUAAACCGGAGGAAGGUGGGGAUGACGUCAAAUCAUCAUGCCCCUUACGACCUGGGCUACACACGUGCUACAAUGGACGGUCAAACGGUUGCCAACCCGCGAGGGGGAGCUAAUCCGAUAAAACCGUUCUCAGUUCGGAUUGUAGGCUGCAACUCGCCUAC